AGUUUGAUCCUGGCUCAGAACGAACGUUGGCGGCGUGCUUAACACAUGCAAGUCGAACGAGAACGGUUCCUUCGGGGACCAAGUAAAGUGGCGCACGGGUGAGUAACACGUAGAUAACCUGUCCAGGUGUUCGGGAUAGCCCUUCGAAAGGGGGAUUAAUACCGGAUACGUUAAUCUUUCACAAGUGAGAUUAAGAAAGGUGGCCUCUAUUUAUAAGCUAUCGCAUUUGGAGGGGUCUGCGUACCAUUAGUUUGUUGGUGGGGUAAUGGCCUACCAAGACUUCGAUGGUUAGCGGGUCUGAGAGGAUGAUCCGUCACACUGGCACUGAAACACGGGCCAGACUCCUACGGGAGGCAGCAGUGAGGAAUAUUGCGCAAUGGGGGAAACCCUGACGCAGCGACGCCGCGUGGGUGAGGAAGGCUUUCGGGUCGUAAAGCCCUGUCAGAAGGGAAGAAAUGUGUAUAGGUUAAUAUCUUAUACAUUUGACGGUACCUUCAAAGGAAGCACCCGGCUAACUCUCGUGCCAGCAGCCCGCGGUAAUACGGAGGGUGCAAACGUUGUUCGGAAUCACUGGGCGUAAAGGGGCGCGCAAGCGGUUUGAUUAGUCAGAUGUGAAAGCCCCACGGCUUAACCGUGGAAGUGCAUUUGAAACUGUCAGACUUGAGUACCAGAGGGGGGUAGUGGAAUUCCCGGUGUAGAGGUGAAAUUCGUAGAUAUCGGGAGGAAAUACCGGUGGCGAAAGCGACUACCUGGCUGGAUACUGACGCUGAGGCGCGAAAGCGUGGGGAGCAAACNNAUUAGAUACCCUGGUAGUCCACGCCGUA
RNAcentral lists this ribosomal RNA (824 nucleotides) under uncultured delta proteobacterium. RNAcentral describes it as "bacterial SSU rRNA". It matches the Rfam family "Bacterial small subunit ribosomal RNA", at positions 10 to 804 of the family's 1533-position model. Lineage: Bacteria; Deltaproteobacteria. The record is from RNAcentral.